GGGUGGUGGUGGCUGGGGCCAGCCCCACGGUGGAGGCUGG
This is a non-coding RNA of Cynopterus sphinx (Indian short-nosed fruit bat), 40 nucleotides long. NCBI's taxonomy places the organism in Eukaryota, Metazoa, Chordata, Mammalia, Chiroptera, Pteropodidae. The record is from Rfam.